RNAcentral lists this signal recognition particle RNA (96 nucleotides) under Paracoccaceae bacterium. RNAcentral describes it as "Rhodobacteraceae bacterium signal recognition particle sRNA small type". It matches the Rfam family "Bacterial small signal recognition particle RNA". From Rfam's summary of the family: The signal recognition particle (SRP) is a universally conserved ribonucleoprotein involved in the co-translational targeting of proteins to membranes. Archaeal SRP consists of a 7S RNA and homologues of the eukaryotic SRP19 and SRP54 proteins. Lineage: Bacteria; Pseudomonadati; Pseudomonadota; Alphaproteobacteria; Rhodobacterales; Paracoccaceae. RNAcentral also lists the same sequence under 1 other name. The record is from RNAcentral.
UGAGAGGUUGGCACGGGCGAACACCUCGCCAACCCGGUCAGGUCCGGAAGGAAGCAGCCGUAACGAGUUCGGUUCGGGUCGUUCAACCUCUCACCU